Molecule: ribosomal RNA, 180 nt
Filed under: Oryza punctata
Lineage: Eukaryota; Viridiplantae; Streptophyta; Magnoliopsida; Poales; Poaceae
Description: rRNA SSU_rRNA_eukarya
Rfam family: Bacterial small subunit ribosomal RNA
Source: RNAcentral
CACCGCCCGUCACACCCUGGGAAUUGGUUUCGCCUGAAGCAUCGGACCAAUGAUCACCCAUGACUUCUGUGUACCACUAGUGCCACAAAGGCCUUUGGUGGUCUUAUUGGCGCAUACCACGGUGGGGUCUUCGACUGGGGUGAAGUCGUAACAAGGUAGCCGUAGGGGAACCUGUGGCCA